AGCAGCCGCGGUAAUUCCAGCUCCAAUAGCGUAUAUUAAAGUUGUUGCAGUUAAAAAGCUCGUAGUUGAAUUUCGGGGUUAGUAAGUUGGUCGUGCCUUUGGUAUGCACUGGCUUUGCUGAUUCCUCCUUCUUGAAGAACUGUGAUGCUAUUAAUUUGGUGUUGCAGGGAAACAGGACUGUUACUUUGAAAAAUUAGAGUGUUUAAAGCAGGCUAACGCUUGAAUACAUUAGCAUGGAAUAAUGAAAUAGGACGUUUGAUCCUAUUUUGUUGGUUUCUAGGAUUGACGUAAUGAUUAAUAGGGAUAGUUGGGGGCAUUAGUAUUCAAUUGUCAGAGGUGAAAUUCUUGGAUUUAUUGAAGACUAACUACUGCGAAAGCAUUUGCCAAGGAUGUUUUCAUUAAUCAAGAACGAAAGUUAGGGGAUCGAAGACGAUCAGAUACCGUCGUAGUCUUAACCAUAAACUAUGCCGACUAGGGAUCGGAUGAUGUUAAUUUUUAAUGACUCAUUCG
RNAcentral lists this ribosomal RNA (510 nucleotides) under uncultured Glomus. RNAcentral's name for it is "SSU rRNA". It matches the Rfam family "Eukaryotic small subunit ribosomal RNA", at positions 569 to 1082 of the family's 1831-position model. Lineage: Eukaryota; Fungi; Glomeromycota; Glomeromycetes; Glomerales; Glomeraceae. The record is from RNAcentral.